Molecule: RNase P RNA, 383 nt
Filed under: Gammaproteobacteria bacterium
Lineage: Bacteria; Pseudomonadati; Pseudomonadota; Gammaproteobacteria
Description: RNase P RNA component class A
Rfam family: Bacterial RNase P class A
About the family: Ribonuclease P (RNase P) is a ubiquitous endoribonuclease, found in archaea, bacteria and eukarya as well as chloroplasts and mitochondria. Its best characterised activity is the generation of mature 5'-ends of tRNAs by cleaving the 5'-leader elements of precursor-tRNAs. Cellular RNase Ps are ribonucleoproteins.
Source: RNAcentral
GGAGUCGACCGGGCAGCCGCCGGGAGAUUCGUGUAAUGUCCCGGAGGAAAGUCCGGGCUCCACAGGGCAGGGUGCCAGGUAACACCUGGGGGGCGCGAGCCCACGGAAAGUGCCACAGAAAACAGACCGCCUACCCCCGCACGAACUUUUGGGUGCACCCCAAGAUUCGGUGGGGCGGCAAGGGUGAAAAGGUGCGGUAAGAGCGCACCGCGCUGGUGGCAACACACAGCGGCACGGCAAACCCCACCCGGAGCAAGACCAAGUAGGGGGGCGCAAUGUGGCCCGCAACGGCCCCCGGGUAGGUUGCUAGAGGUGUGUGGCGACACACGCCCCAGAGGAAUGGCUGUCCCCGACAGAACCCGGCUUACAGGUCGGCUCCCCCG